Molecule: ribosomal RNA, 457 nt
Filed under: uncultured bacterium
Lineage: Bacteria
Description: bacterial SSU rRNA
Rfam family: Bacterial small subunit ribosomal RNA
Source: RNAcentral
UACGGAAGGCAGCAGUGGGGAAUAUUGCACAAUGGGCGCAAGCCUGAUGCAGCCAUGCCGCGUGUAUGAAGAAGGCCUUCGGGUUGUAAAGUACUUUCAGUCGUGAGGAAGGUGUUAAGGUUAAUAACCUUAGCAAUUGACGUUAGCGACAGAAGAAGCACCGGCUAACUCCGUGCCAGCAGCCGCGGUAAUACGGAGGGUGCGAGCGUUAAUCGGAAUUACUGGGCGUAAAGGGCACGCAGGCGGUUAAUUAAGUUGGAUGUGAAAUCCCCGGGCUUAAACCUGGGAAUGGCAUUCAAGACUGGUUAGCUAGAGUCUUGUAGAGGGGGUAGAAUUCCAUGUGUAGCGGUGAAAUGCGUAGAGAUGUGGAGGAAUACCGGUGGCGAAAGGCGGCCCCUGGACAAAGACUGACGCUCAUGUGCGAAAAGCGUGGGGAGCAAAACAGGGAUUAGAUACC